CUUCAUGAACCCUGUGGCACCGGUAACAAAGAUGUAUUCCAAUGCCAUAGUAAUAAGUAGAUGAUCUCAACAAGAAAGAUUUUCUUUUGAAUUAAAUGGAUGGAAGAACAAAGCAAUCGGAAUAUAUGAAGAAGAAAAGGUUCACAUAAUUGAUAGAACAGCACAAUCCAGAAAGCGAAAAAAAAGAAGGGAAAAUCAAGUGGAGGUCAUGAAGGUUCUGCUCUCGAUCAUACGGGGGCAUCAAUUUUGGAUAUUCCGUAAUGUUCAGUUCUUGCACGUUUCUUUUUAGUGCAUAUUGCAUAAUCAAGCAGCGGCAACAAUCGUUGUCGAUUAUGGAGAUGGUGUGUUAGUCCGAGUUCAGGCUGUUGAUAUUUUUGGACAUCGGAUAAAGUAAAUUAAGGUAUGAUUAAAUAGGAGUUACAGAAAAUUUGAAAAUUGGGUUAUUUUUUGGGAUAUAGUUAUGCUGGAUAAGCUAAUUGAUAAUCUAUGCAUUAGGUAGUUCAUGUUGCUUCUUCGCAAUAGUAAAGGGGUUUUUUAAAUCACAUUAUGACUAAGUAUGCUAUGAUUUUGAUAGUCCAGAUUACGAAAGAGGAUCCUCUUUAUUGGCGUGCAAGACUAAUUUUAUGUUUCUCUUUAGAUCGAGUAACCUCUCCGUGGAUUUUGUUGCAUAUAUACACAAGAUAGGUCACGCACAAUUAUUCAGAUAUCAAGGCUUUUUCUUUGGAGGAAAGGAUUACGCGGGGAAGGAAAAUUUACGAAAACUACAUAAGCACCAAACCAUGAGCCUCAUUUUCAGUUGCAACCCCUUUUUGGGCAAACUUUCUUUACAAAUAUCACAAUAUGAAGGAGGAUGUGGAGCAACGGCAACCAACUUUACUAAUUUUCAAAUUUGUUGGCAAUAUUAUGCGCCACCAUCACAUUUUUGUUGGUAUGUCGUGAACAAGGUACGAAUCCAACAAAUUUUAGUCAUGGGAUUAGCUUCGGAACAGUAUCUCAUUUUGUUUCUUAGUAUUUCUUACGGAGUUACUAACACCUCUGUGUCUUUAGUAUAUAUGUAAAACCUAAGUUGGAUUCCGAAAUUUCGUCGCGUACGAAAUAAGUUUAUGGUUAUACCAUAUAAUUUUUUGGAAAGGUGAUAUAGAUGUGAUUAAUUGUGAUA
Long non-coding RNA from Papaver somniferum (opium poppy), 1159 nucleotides. RefSeq lists it as uncharacterized. Lineage: Eukaryota; Viridiplantae; Streptophyta; Magnoliopsida; Ranunculales; Papaveraceae. The transcript has 4 exons. The record is from RefSeq and is a predicted model, not a curated record.